UACGUAGGGUGCGAGCGUUAAUCGGAAUUACUGGGCGUAAAGGGAGCGUAGGCGGACUUUUAAGUGAGAUGUGAAAUACCCGGGCUCAACUUGGGUGCUGCAUUUCAAACUGGAAGUCUAGAGUGCAGGAGAGGAGAAUGGAAUUCCUAGUGUAGCGGUGAAAUGCGUAGAGAUUAGGAAGAACACCAGUGGCGAAGGCGAUUCUCUGGACUGUAACUGACGCUGAGGCUCGAAAGCGUGGGGAGCAAACAGGAUUAGAUACCCU
RNAcentral lists this ribosomal RNA (265 nucleotides) under uncultured prokaryote. Its description in RNAcentral is "partial 16S ribosomal RNA". It matches the Rfam family "Bacterial small subunit ribosomal RNA", at positions 524 to 788 of the family's 1533-position model. The record is from RNAcentral.